RNAcentral lists this ribosomal RNA (253 nucleotides) under uncultured bacterium. RNAcentral describes it as "partial 16S ribosomal RNA". It matches the Rfam family "Bacterial small subunit ribosomal RNA", at positions 524 to 776 of the family's 1533-position model. The record is from RNAcentral.
CACGGGGGGAGCAAGCGUUGUUCGGAAUCACUGGGCGUAAAGGGCUCGUAGGCGGCCAACUAAGUCAUACGUGAAAUCCCUCGGCUUAACCGGGGAACUGCGUCUGAUACUGGAUGGCUUGAGUUCGGGAGAGGGAUGCGGAAUUCCAGGUGUAGCGGUGAAAUGCGUAGAUAUCUGGAGGAACACCGGUGGCGAAGGCGGCAUCCUGGACCGAUACUGACGCUGAGGAGCGAAAGCCAGGGGAGCAAACGGG